GAUGAACGCUGGCGGCGUGCCUAAUACAUGCAAGUCGAGCGAACAGACGAGGAGCUUGCUCCUCUGACGUUAGCGGCGGACGGGUGAGUAACACGUGGAUAACCUACCUAUAAGACUGGGAUAACUUCGGGAAACCGGAGCUAAUACCGGAUAAUAUAUUGAACCGCAAGGUUCAAUAGUGGAAGACGGUUUUGCUGUCACUUAUAGAUGGAUCCGCGCCGCAUUAGCUAGUUGGUAAGGUAACGGCUUACCAAGGCAACGAUGCGUAGCCGACCUGAGAGGGUGAUCGGCCACACUGGAACUGAGACACGGUCCAGACUCCUACGGGAGGCAGCAGUAGGGAAUCUUCCGCAAUGGGCGAAAGCCUGACGGAGCAACGCCGCGUGAGUGAUGAAGGUCUUCGGAUCGUAAAACUCUGUUAUUAGGGAAGAACAAAUGUGUAAGUAACUAUGCACGUCUUGACGGUACCUAAUCAGAAAGCCACGGCUAACUACGUG
This 497-nucleotide ribosomal RNA is filed under the name uncultured bacterium. Its description in RNAcentral is "partial 16S ribosomal RNA". It matches the Rfam family "Bacterial small subunit ribosomal RNA", at positions 28 to 507 of the family's 1533-position model. The record is from RNAcentral.